RNAcentral lists this ribosomal RNA (2904 nucleotides) under Escherichia coli. RNAcentral describes it as "23S ribosomal RNA". It matches the Rfam family "Bacterial large subunit ribosomal RNA". Lineage: Bacteria; Pseudomonadati; Pseudomonadota; Gammaproteobacteria; Enterobacterales; Enterobacteriaceae. The record is from RNAcentral.
GGUUAAGCGACUAAGCGUACACGGUGGAUGCCCUGGCAGUCAGAGGCGAUGAAGGACGUGCUAAUCUGCGAUAAGCGUCGGUAAGGUGAUAUGAACCGUUAUAACCGGCGAUUUCCGAAUGGGGAAACCCAGUGUGUUUCGACACACUAUCAUUAACUGAAUCCAUAGGUUAAUGAGGCGAACCGGGGGAACUGAAACAUCUAAGUACCCCGAGGAAAAGAAAUCAACCGAGAUUCCCCCAGUAGCGGCGAGCGAACGGGGAGCAGCCCAGAGCCUGAAUCAGUGUGUGUGUUAGUGGAAGCGUCUGGAAAGGCGCGCGAUACAGGGUGACAGCCCCGUACACAAAAAUGCACAUAUUGUGAGCUCGAUGAGUAGGGCGGGACACGUGGUAUCCUGUCUGAAUAUGGGGGGACCAUCCUCCAAGGCUAAAUACUCCUGACUGACCGAUAGUGAACCAGUACCGUGAGGGAAAGGCGAAAAGAACCCCGGCGAGGGGAGUGAAAAAGAACCUGAAACCGUGUACGUACAAGCAGUGGGAGCACGCUUAGGCGUGUGACUGCGUACCUUUUGUAUAAUGGGUCAGCGACUUAUAUUCUGUAGCAAGGUUAACCGAAUAGGGGAGCCGAAGGGAAACCGAGUCUUAACUGGGCGUUAAGUUGCAGGGUAUAGACCCGAAACCCGGUGAUCUAGCCAUGGGCAGGUUGAAGGUUGGGUAACACUAACUGGAGGACCGAACCGACUAAUGUUGAAAAAUUAGCGGAUGACUUGUGGCUGGGGGUGAAAGGCCAAUCAAACCGGGAGAUAGCUGGUUCUCCCCGAAAGCUAUUUAGGUAGCGCCUCGUGAAUUCAUCUCCGGGGGUAGAGCACUGUUUCGGCAAGGGGGUCAUCCCGACUUACCAACCCGAUGCAAACUGCGAAUACCGGAGAAUGUUAUCACGGGAGACACACGGCGGGUGCUAACGUCCGUCGUGAAGAGGGAAACAACCCAGACCGCCAGCUAAGGUCCCAAAGUCAUGGUUAAGUGGGAAACGAUGUGGGAAGGCCCAGACAGCCAGGAUGUUGGCUUAGAAGCAGCCAUCAUUUAAAGAAAGCGUAAUAGCUCACUGGUCGAGUCGGCCUGCGCGGAAGAUGUAACGGGGCUAAACCAUGCACCGAAGCUGCGGCAGCGACGCUGAUGCGUUGUUGGGUAGGGGAGCGUUCUGUAAGCCUGCGAAGGUGUGCUGUGAGGCAUGCUGGAGGUAUCAGAAGUGCGAAUGCUGACAUAAGUAACGAUAAAGCGGGUGAAAAGCCCGCUCGCCGGAAGACCAAGGGUUCCUGUCCAACGUUAAUCGGGGCAGGGUGAGUCGACCCCUAAGGCGAGGCCGAAAGGCGUAGUCGAUGGGAAACAGGUUAAUAUUCCUGUACUUGGUGUUACUGCGAAGGGGGGACGGAGAAGGCUAUGUUGGCCGGGCGACGGUUGUCCCGGUUUAAGCGUGUAGGCUGGUUUUCCAGGCAAAUCCGGAAAAUCAAGGCUGAGGCGUGAUGACGAGGCACUACGGUGCUGAAGCAACAAAUGCCCUGCUUCCAGGAAAAGCCUCUAAGCAUCAGGUAACAUCAAAUCGUACCCCAAACCGACACAGGUGGUCAGGUAGAGAAUACCAAGGCGCUUGAGAGAACUCGGGUGAAGGAACUAGGCAAAAUGGUGCCGUAACUUCGGGAGAAGGCACGCUGAUAUGUAGGUGAAGUCCCUUGCGGAUGGAGCUGAAAUCAGUCGAAGAUACCAGCUGGCUGCAACUGUUUAUUAAAAACACAGCACUGUGCAAACACGAAAGUGGACGUAUACGGUGUGACGCCUGCCCGGUGCCGGAAGGUUAAUUGAUGGGGUCAGCGCAAGCGAAGCUCUUGAUCGAAGCCCCGGUAAACGGCGGCCGUAACUAUAACGGUCCUAAGGUAGCGAAAUUCCUUGUCGGGUAAGUUCCGACCUGCACGAAUGGCGUAAUGAUGGCCAGGCUGUCUCCACCCGAGACUCAGUGAAAUUGAACUCGCUGUGAAGAUGCAGUGUACCCGCGGCAAGACGGAAAGACCCCGUGAACCUUUACUAUAGCUUGACACUGAACAUUGAGCCUUGAUGUGUAGGAUAGGUGGGAGGCUUUGAAGUGUGGACGCCAGUCUGCAUGGAGCCGACCUUGAAAUACCACCCUUUAAUGUUUGAUGUUCUAACGUUGACCCGUAAUCCGGGUUGCGGACAGUGUCUGGUGGGUAGUUUGACUGGGGCGGUCUCCUCCUAAAGAGUAACGGAGGAGCACGAAGGUUGGCUAAUCCUGGUCGGACAUCAGGAGGUUAGUGCAAUGGCAUAAGCCAGCUUGACUGCGAGCGUGACGGCGCGAGCAGGUGCGAAAGCAGGUCAUAGUGAUCCGGUGGUUCUGAAUGGAAGGGCCAUCGCUCAACGGAUAAAAGGUACUCCGGGGAUAACAGGCUGAUACCGCCCAAGAGUUCAUAUCGACGGCGGUGUUUGGCACCUCGAUGUCGGCUCAUCACAUCCUGGGGCUGAAGUAGGUCCCAAGGGUAUGGCUGUUCGCCAUUUAAAGUGGUACGCGAGCUGGGUUUAGAACGUCGUGAGACAGUUCGGUCCCUAUCUGCCGUGGGCGCUGGAGAACUGAGGGGGGCUGCUCCUAGUACGAGAGGACCGGAGUGGACGCAUCACUGGUGUUCGGGUUGUCAUGCCAAUGGCACUGCCCGGUAGCUAAAUGCGGAAGAGAUAAGUGCUGAAAGCAUCUAAGCACGAAACUUGCCCCGAGAUGAGUUCUCCCUGACCCUUUAAGGGUCCUGAAGGAACGUUGAAGACGACGACGUUGAUAGGCCGGGUGUGUAAGCGCAGCGAUGCGUUGAGCUAACCGGUACUAAUGAACCGUGAGGCUUAACCUU